RNAcentral lists this ribosomal RNA (207 nucleotides) under uncultured bacterium. Its description in RNAcentral is "partial 16S ribosomal RNA". It matches the Rfam family "Bacterial small subunit ribosomal RNA", at positions 568 to 774 of the family's 1533-position model. The record is from RNAcentral.
CAUGUAGGCGGUUUGAUCAGUCGGAUGUGAAAUCCCCGAGCUUAACUUGGGAAUGGCAUUCGAUACUGUCAGGCUAGAGUAGGCUAGAGGGAAGGGGAAUUCCGCGUGUAGCAGUGAAAUGCGUAGAUAUGCGGAGGAACACCAAUGGCGAAGGCACCUUUCUGGGGUCAUACUGACGCUGAGAUGCGAAAGCGUGGGGAGCAAACA